CUCCAAGGAGCACAUCAAUGGCGAGAGCGUUGCCCGCCAGAACAGCGCUUGCAGCGGUGGCUGCCACAGCCACACCGACCUCCUUGAGAGAUGCACGGGGUGACACGGCCAUCGCAACCGGCGCCUUCGACCCCGCGGCAGCGCUGCUGCCGACCCGUGCAGCGGCUGUGCCGGCCUUCAGGCCGGUGAAGGAGGGGAUGGUGACUGCUGCUGCGGUCAAGCUGGCCAUCGUCUAGCUUCUCUCUCUUUGAUACCUGACUCUGGUGGGAUUUGAUACCGCUGCAAUAGUUCUGAGGCUACUGCAAGGGGAGGUUGACAGGAAUUCAGUAAUGU
RNAcentral lists this long non-coding RNA (333 nucleotides) under Phoenix dactylifera (date palm). Its description in RNAcentral is "long non-coding RNA (PDAC_LNC004757)". Lineage: Eukaryota; Viridiplantae; Streptophyta; Magnoliopsida; Arecales; Arecaceae. The record is from RNAcentral.